Non-coding RNA from Colinus virginianus (northern bobwhite), 46 nucleotides. NCBI's taxonomy places the organism in Eukaryota, Metazoa, Chordata, Aves, Galliformes, Odontophoridae. The record is from Rfam.
CCAAAGGCUCUUUUCAGAGCCACCCACGCGUUCCACGAAAGAGCUA